This 1149-nucleotide long non-coding RNA is filed under the name Hordeum vulgare. Its description in RNAcentral is "long non-coding RNA (HVUL_LNC017417)". The record is from RNAcentral. Lineage: Eukaryota; Viridiplantae; Streptophyta; Magnoliopsida; Poales; Poaceae.
CUAUAUGUCUGGGUAUCUUUGUUUCUUUACAAAGUUGUGUUCACCAAGUCACAACAAAUUUAUACCCCAUUUUUCUCAAACUGGUAAAGAUUGUCUCUAGCAAACUAACAGUAUUACUGUGUACCCUUUUAGUGUUAUACUCCGAGGGUGGUCAACGGGGCCUUACCGUCUCCCGCCAUUGAUCCACACAACUAAAUGUUUUAAAGUUACUGAACUGAAAACUUUUGAAAAGAAUACUUAGAACAAGAUGUCGAGAUCAUUGUCGUUGCAUUCAGCAUUCGUAGGUGCACCAUAUGCGAAAAUGAGUCGACCAAAGGUAGAUUUGAGUCGAAACAAACUAGGUCUGCUCGAUAGUAUAUGGUUAUGACAAGCCAUCGAGCAGCUGCAGAUAACCUGACCAUUUUCGCAUAUGGUGCUCCUACGAGCAGCUGUAGCAAACAACUUCGAAUUACCAUGCUUUAGAUAACCUGACCACUAACCACCUUAAAUGACAAGCAAUCAACAACUAAGGUUCAAGUAGGUCCGAAAUUCCAGAACAUUGCACACGCAAAAGGCAUAUUCAGAUAAACCUAAGGCUCUCAACAUAGCCGCAGCAAGUCGGACAUAAGGAUUUCAAUAGUCAAAGCAUCAACUUAGAGCUUGAGUCACCAUGCAUCAGCAUCAGCAGCAGCAAAAGACACCACCACCAUCCAUGCAUCUCACCAGGUCCCCUAGAAGAACAAGAUAAACAAGUGCACGUCAUUCAUUAGUAUAACGUGUCGUUGCAAAUCUGAGUCAAGUAGUCUUCCAUCUGAUUCUAAAUUGUUUCAAUACAAGGCUAAUUCAAAAGCUAGCAUUUGCCACAGUCCCAAAGGUGCCAUCCAGAUCUUGGAACCACUGAAUUGCCACAAAAAGGUAAAGUGACUAAAUGAUCUCAGGUGCAUUCUUGAAAGUUUGAGAUGCAAGGUUAUAAAGAACUAGAUGGCCAACAGGAUCAACAUUUAUACUAUCCUAACAAAGGUGCAGGUCCAUGUCCAGUUAUGCAAACCAUCCCCCUUCUGAAUUUAUAUAUAAUCUUCAGUCCACGGCGUUACCUAUUAUGCUUUGACAACAGAUGCAGACUCUGUUGGGCCACCCCCAGCCUUCACAUCACUUCCUUCAGAUCCUUGG